MicroRNA precursor from Oryza sativa Japonica Group (Japanese rice), 205 nucleotides. It matches the Rfam family "MIR812 microRNA precursor family". Lineage: Eukaryota; Viridiplantae; Streptophyta; Magnoliopsida; Poales; Poaceae. The record is from Rfam.
AAAAAAAUAAACCCUGAGUUUGCGUGUCCAACUCUGACUGUCCGUCUUAUAUGAAAAUUUUUUAUAAUUCGUAUUUUUAUUGUUGUUAGAUGAUAAAACAUGAUUAAUAUUUUAUAUGUGACUUAUCUUUUUAAUUUUUUUCAUAACUUUUUCAAAUAAGACGGAAGAUUAAACGUUGGAUACGGAAAAAAGGGUUUAUCUUUUU